Molecule: ribosomal RNA, 348 nt
Filed under: uncultured Helicobacter sp.
Lineage: Bacteria; Pseudomonadati; Campylobacterota; Epsilonproteobacteria; Campylobacterales; Helicobacteraceae
Description: bacterial SSU rRNA
Rfam family: Bacterial small subunit ribosomal RNA
Source: RNAcentral
AAGUGGAUUAGUGGCGCACGGGUGAGUAACGCAUAGGUAAUAUGCCUCAUAGUCUAGGAUAGCCACUGGAAACGGUGAUUAAUACUGGAUAUUCCCUACGGGGGAAAGUUUUUCGCUAUGAGAUUAGCCUAUGUCCUAUCAGCUUGUUGGUGAGGUAAUGGCUUACCAAGGCUAUGACGGGUAUCCGGCCUGAGAGGGUGAACGGACACACUGGAACUGAGACACGGUCCAGACUCCUACGGGAGGCAGCAGUAGGGAAUAUUGCUCAAUGGGGGAAACCCUGAAGCAGCAACGCCGCGUGGAGGAUGAAGGUUUUAGGAUUGUAAACUCCUUUUGUUAGAGAAGAUA